CGCAGCAGCACAACACAGCAGCUCCCUGGCCAGUUGUCCCCUCAGCCUCCGUAAGCCACAGCCUUGGCACAGCAAAGCAGAGGUCUCAGUAGCAGGGUGAAAGAAGUUGCCCUAUCUCACAACCAUUUCUGAGGCAAUAUUUUUACCCUCCAUUCCUUUUUUGAUUCACCUCAAAAGCUGGACAGUAACACCCUACCCCUGUACCACUUCUGCCAUGGAAGGACACAAUCCCAGAGCCCAAGCAGCAGCUCUCUAUAACCUCCCCCUGCUCCACAGGACAAGUUCUGCUCUCUACUCACGGGUUUCCCAGGGAGGCAAUGUCUCACCUGGCAACUUUCCUUGGCACCCCAGACCAUUUCCUUCCAGAAGGAGGCAUGGAAGUUGGGAAAGCCCAGCAGCUUCCAGCAGCUUUGUCCCAACAGGCCCAGAAACAUGCUCUGCUUGCAGAGUAACCAACUGACACAUCUGGUAUCAGGCACAAUUUUUGCUGAAGAAGGGCUCUUCUGUCCCUAUUUUCGGCACCGCCUCAGAGCGAUAAACAAUCAACAGCGGCGGCGAAAGCUGCCCGGGCACAAACUUCUCCCGGGGGCCACGAGCCGCCCCCCGGCCGGGGGAAGCUCGGGGGAAGCGUCCCCCGCCCCGCGGCCGAGCCCCCCGCCCCACCUCGCCGCCCACUCGGCCGGGCUGCGCAAAGGCUCCCCGAGUUUUCCUGCCGGGCUGCGGGGAGGGGGAGGUCAGACCGACACAAACAAGUCCCCUGCCCGCCAUGCCCGCGGCCCCGGAGACAGGCCGAGCACGGAGGGGUGCCCGCCUGCCCCAGCCCUCCGGGAGGGGACGGACGCGGUCCCGCCGCUCUGCCCGGCCACCCCGCGCCCCCUCGUCGCUCCCCGGCACCGACCUGGGACACAAAGGAGCGGCCGCUGCUGCCCGCCGAUCGCCCGUGCUCCCCGCGGAGUCCAGGCCGCGGCAGCACCGGGAUGGCGUAGCGCAGGCAUCCGACGCCAGCGCCUGCUGCUCCCGCGACGGCCCGUGCCGCCGGCGCCCGCUCUGCGCUGGGCGGGGAGGGGAGGGGGGACGCUGGGAGCCGGCCGAGCGCCGCUUCCUGCUGCCCGGCGCCGAGGGGCGAGGGGUGCCGGAGCUGCCGCCGGGGGUGCUGCGCCGGCGGCUAAGCAGAGGCCGCUGGUAGCGGCCGCAUCCUCAGCGCCCGCGCCGGGCUUUCCGUGCCUCCUCAGUCCGGCUCCGAGGAGUCUCCGGUGCGGCUCCCUUGGCGGCCGCUGCUGGCAGGGGGAGCCCCGCUGUCCCCGCGAUGCGCCCGGCCCGCGCUCGUGCUCCCCCUGCCGCCCCGCCGGGCCGGGCCGCGGCUCGGGCCCCUCCCGCGGCUCCGCGGGGCUGGCUUGGGGCAGCCCCGAAGGGCCGGGAGACCCCCGGAGCGGGAGCGACGCGAGCUUAGCCCUCGCUGCUUUCCAGCCGCGGCCCGCUCCCCAGAGACCCCUUCGUGGCGCACGCCGUGGGGCGGGGCAGGCCUGCCCUCUGCCGCGGCCGCCAGAGCUGCCUUCCCGGUGCCCGCUGUCCGGCCUGGGCACGGAGCAGGGAGCAGCCCGCGGGGAAAAGGCUCCCGGGGUGGUGGGGGGCAGCGGCGGGGCCGGCCGGGCUGCGGGGCACCUGCCAGGGGUGCAGCGCUGGAGGGUGACCAUAGGAGUAUGCAAUCUGCAAGGCAGUCAUAGAGCAACCGCCAUCUACAUUAAUAAUAAUUAUAAUAACUGAAGAUGAAAUAGGAUGUGACCUGCAGCAAGAAAAAUGUGAGUGACAUAGAGAAAGUUUCCAUGGGAACAACAUAAAAAAUUCUAAAAUAUCUCUGUGUUCAGUGAGAAAAAUUUGGUCAGACAUAAGUUUGUCUCACAGCAGAGUGCCUU
RNAcentral lists this long non-coding RNA (1913 nucleotides) under Catharus ustulatus (Swainson's thrush). RNAcentral describes it as "lncRNA (ENSCUSG00005006869.1)". Lineage: Eukaryota; Metazoa; Chordata; Aves; Passeriformes; Turdidae. The record is from RNAcentral.